This 741-nucleotide ribosomal RNA is filed under the name uncultured bacterium. RNAcentral describes it as "bacterial SSU rRNA". It matches the Rfam family "Bacterial small subunit ribosomal RNA", at positions 56 to 797 of the family's 1533-position model. The record is from RNAcentral.
UGCAGUCGACGGUAACAGGCCUUCGGGCGCUGACGAGUGGCGGACGGGUGAGUAACGCGUAGGAAUCUGCCUGUCAGUGGGGGACAACGUGGGGAAACCCACGCUAAUACCGCAUACGCCCUACGGGGGAAAGGAGGGGAUCUUCGGACCUUUCGCUAACAGAUGAGCCUGCGUUAGAUUAGCUAGUUGGUAGGGUAAAGGCCUACCAAGGCGACGAUCUAUAGCUGGUCUGAGAGGACGAUCAGCCACACUGGGACUGAGACACGGCCCAGACUCCUACGGGAGGCAGCAGUGGGGAAUAUUGGACAAUGGGCGAAAGCCUGAUCCAGCAAUACCGCGUGUGUGAAGAAGGCCUUAGGGUUGUAAAGCACUUUCAAUUGGGAGGAAAACCUAUCGAUCAAUACCCGAUAGCUUGACAUUACCUUUAGAAGAAGCACCGGCUAACUCCGUGCCAGCAGCCGCGGUAAUACGGAGGGUGCGAGCGUUAAUCGGAAUUACUGGGCGUAAAGCGUGCGUAGGCGGUUCGUUAAGUCAGAUGUGAAAGCCCUGGGCUCAACCUGGGAACUGCAUUUGAAACUGGCGGACUAGAGUUUAGUAGAGGGGAGUGGAAUUUCAGGUGUAGCGGUGAAAUGCGUAGAUAUCUGAAGGAACACCAGUGGCGAAGGCGACUCCCUGGACUAGAACUGACGCUGAGGUACGAAAGCGUGGGUAGCAAACAGGAUUAGAUACCCUGGUAGUCCA